AUAGUGGAUAUGUCCUGGAAUGGUAUAUCCUCGAAAGAUCCGUCGCCUUAGGAUGGGACUGCGUCCGAUUAGGUUGUUGGCGGGGUAACGGCCCACCAAGCCAUUGAUCGGUACGGGUUGUGGGAGCAAGAUCCCGGAGAUGGAUUCUGAGACAUGAAUCCAGGCCCUACGGGGCGCAGCAGGCGCGCAAACUUUACAAUGCGAGCAAUCGUGAUAAGGAAACCCUGAGUGCCUGUCGAUGCAGGCUGUUCAUAUAUCUAAAUCAUAUGUGAAGAAAGGGCAGGGCAAGACCGGUGCCAGCAGCCGCGGU
Molecule: ribosomal RNA, 310 nt
Filed under: uncultured archaeon
Lineage: Archaea
Description: bacterial SSU rRNA
Rfam family: Archaeal small subunit ribosomal RNA
Source: RNAcentral